Molecule: long non-coding RNA, 1665 nt
Organism: Gallus gallus (chicken)
Lineage: Eukaryota; Metazoa; Chordata; Aves; Galliformes; Phasianidae
Gene: SMLR1
Product: small leucine-rich protein 1
Exons: 2
Source: RefSeq, marked validated
ACAGAAAAAAAACGAAGAAAGCAGGAUAAAUAGGUUCUACAGUUAGGGAUCUGAAGGAACUUAUUCAGCCAGGCUGCUGCAGAAGAAAUGAGCAUAAUUUACAUAAUUUCGGUGUUUGCAAGGGAGCUGCCUGGAUACUUUAUCUUUGGCUGGAUCUUCAUGCCUGUGACUUUACUCCUACUGCUGCUCAUUGCCUAUUUCAGGAUCCAACUAUCAAAAGUUGAUCAGGAGCUGGCCAUGCUGUAUGACCCUAGAAACACACUCCCAAAGUACGACAUCGAUCAGCAGAAACUGUGGAGGUCUCGGAAAAAAGCAAACAAACAUGGGAAUUGAAUGACAUUAAAGGGUGUCUGAAGCCUCAGGAUACAAGCUUACAACCAGUGCUCAGCUCUUCAGGCUUAAAAAUAACCAUCUGUAGAUAAAUAGCAUAGAGGAGAACAAAAUAGAGAGAAACUAGCGGCAUGUUGUACAAGUAAAAAAGCUACUGCCAUUCAAAAAGACCUCAUAGCAGUUUUGCUCACUCACCUGUGGCCAAGUGAUCAGUACUUUCAUCAGCUCAUCAGACACCAGAGACCUCCUGCAAUGUACCGCAUCAGUUUGUUUACGUGGCGCAGGAUACGGCGGGAGAGAAAGCACCUUGCUCACCAGUCCUUCACCAGCCUGCAGGGAAGGACACUCAAUAUUUAACAAGCUCCUGGGAGAGUUGAGCUACAUAUACAAUGCAGGCAGUCUUAUUAAAUUGAAAAUGCAAAAAUAGUAAGUUCAUACCAAGCAGUGACAUGCAGAAAUCGAGAAGGGUGAUGAGGGGGAACUGACUUAUUUUUAUCAGCUUGUAUACUUUUUGUAAGAUUGUAGGUUUUCUAAAGUAUGGAAACAAAAUGUGACAGUGAUGGGAAACAGAAGGACACUGCUGAUCGUGCCCAAAGUUUGAAAUAAUGGAAUGUUGCAAUCAGUAGGAUGGGUCUUGAAUAAAUGGAUUAUUUAUGAAAAGAAUUAAUGAAAAAAAACCUCUUAGUAUGGAUGUGUGUCUCACAUACUCAGAAAUCCCCCUCCCCUUCCCCUUCCUAGGGGAAUAACACUCCACAGGCAGUUCUUAAAUCAGAAAUAUGCUCUCUAUCUCUAUCUAUACUUAACUAUGUUAAGUAGACCUUACUUUCAUGACAUCAAAUUGACAUACUCAGGACACUGAGGAGCACACGCUCCCUUACCUCUCUGACCUGGGCUUUUACGUUACCUGGCAGACCUAGUGCAACACAGUCCAAAGUAGAGUAUGCUUUUCUUAAAAUCUAGCACAUCUGGACUGUAAAGGCAGAGAAUCUCAAAAGCUCUCAAUACUGGCCUGCUCCUACCUUUAACAAACUCUGCUGUUAAACGUUGGCACUAAGUAGCCCAAAUAACACUGUUUUCAUUGAAAGAUGCUUUCUGAUCCCAGGAAAAUAGUAACGAUGAAAAAAUGUGACGCUUCGUUUAACUUCAAUGUUUCUAAACUUGAAUUUAUGUCAUUAGGUAUUUAACGUUCAUGAAAGAUAUAUCAAGAUAGUUACCAUAGUGUCAGUAGCAUAUUUAUGAAUACUUGUGUGACAUAAAGCUUGAAAGCCUAAGGUGUAAUACAUAAAUAUUCUUAAGAAGCAUGCUAUUAACUCAUACAGCCAUUAUUGACCAUAU